UACGGGGGGGGCAAGCGUUGUUCGGAAUUACUGGGCGUAAAGGGCUCGUAGGCGGCCAUCUAAGUCAGACGUGAAAUCCCUCGGCUUAACCGGGGAACUGCGUCUGAUACUGGAUGGCUUGAAUCCGGGAGAGGGAUGCGGAAUUCCAGGUGUAGCGGUGAAAUGCGUAGAUAUCUGGAGGAACACCGGUGGCGAAGGCGGCAUCCUGGACCGGCAUUGACGCUGAGGAGCGAAAGCCAGGGGAGCAAACGGG
Molecule: ribosomal RNA, 253 nt
Filed under: uncultured bacterium
Lineage: Bacteria
Description: partial 16S ribosomal RNA
Rfam family: Bacterial small subunit ribosomal RNA
Source: RNAcentral